UGCUAGACGAGUUUGAUCCUGGCUCAGAUUGAACGCUGGCGGAAUGCUUUACACAUGCAAGUCGAGCGGCAGCGCGGGGGCAACCCUGGCGGCGAGCGGCGAACGGGUGAGUAACAUAUCGGAACGUACCCAGUCGUGGGGGAUAACUAUCCGAAAGGAUAGCUAAUACCGCAUACGUCCUGAGGGAGAAAGCGGGGGAUCGCAAGACCUCGCGCGAUUGGAGCGGCCGAUAUCGGAUUAGCUAGUUGGUGGGGUAAAGGCUCACCAAGGCGACGAUCCGUAGCGGGUCUGAGAGGACGACCCGCCACACUGGAACUGAGACACGGUCCAGACUCCUACGGGAGGCAGCAGUGGGGAAUUUUGGACAAUGGGGGCAACCCUGAUCCAGCCAUUCCGCGUGAGUGAAGAAGGCCUUCGGGUUGUAAAGCUCUUUCAGCAGGAACGAAACGGUGGUCCCUAAUACGGACUACUAAUGACGGUACCUGAAGAAGAAGCACCGGCUAACUACGUG
RNAcentral lists this ribosomal RNA (511 nucleotides) under uncultured bacterium. Its description in RNAcentral is "bacterial SSU rRNA". It matches the Rfam family "Bacterial small subunit ribosomal RNA", at positions 1 to 507 of the family's 1533-position model. The record is from RNAcentral.